CCUACGGGUGGCUGCAGUGGGGAAUAUUGCACAAUGGGGGAAACCCUGAUGCAGCGACGCCGCGUGAGGGAAGAAGGAAUUCGGGAUGGAAAGCUCUAUCAGCAGGGAAGAAAAUGACGGUACCUGAGUAAGAAUCCCCGGCUAACUACGUCCCAGCAGCCGCGGUAAUACGUAGGGGGCAAGCGUUAUCCGGAUUUACUGGGGGUAAAGGGAGCGUAGACGGCAGUGCAAGUCAGGGGUGAAAGGCGGGGGCUCAACCCCCGGACUGCUCUUGAAACUGUACGGCUGGAGUGCAGGAGAGGUAAGUGGAAUUCCUGGUGUAGCGGUGAAAUGCGUAGAUAUUAGGAGGAACACCAGUGGCGAAGGCGGCUUACUGGACUGUAACUGACGUUGAGGCUCGAAAGCGUGGGGAGCAAACAGGAUUAGAUACCCGUGUAGUC
This 440-nucleotide ribosomal RNA is filed under the name uncultured bacterium. RNAcentral describes it as "partial 16S ribosomal RNA". It matches the Rfam family "Bacterial small subunit ribosomal RNA", at positions 338 to 795 of the family's 1533-position model. The record is from RNAcentral.